GACGAACGCUGGCGGCGUGCCUAAUACAUGCAAGUUGAGCGCUUAAGGUUGGUACUUGUACCGACUGGAUGAGCAGCGAACGGGUGAGUAACGCGUGGGGAAUCUGCCUUUGAUCGGUGGACAACAUUUGGAAACGAAUGCUAAUACCGCAUAAAAACUUUAAACACAAGUUUUAAGUUUGAAAGAUGCAAUUGCAUCACUCAAAGAUGAUCCCGCGUUGUAUUAGCUAGUUGGUGAGGUAAAGGCUCACCAAGGCGAUGAUACAUAGCCGACCUGAGAGGGUGAUCGGCCAAAUUGGGACUGAGAAAAGGCACAAACUACUACGGGAGGCAGCAGUAGGGAAUCUUCGGAAAUGGACGAAAGUCUGACCGAGCAACGCCGCGUGAGUGAAGAAGGGUUUCGGAUCGGAAAACUCUGUUGGUAGAGAAGAACGUUGGUGAGAGUGGAAAGCUCAUCAAGUGACGGUAACUACACAGAAAGGGACGGCUAACUACGUG
This 497-nucleotide ribosomal RNA is filed under the name uncultured bacterium. Its description in RNAcentral is "partial 16S ribosomal RNA". It matches the Rfam family "Bacterial small subunit ribosomal RNA", at positions 28 to 507 of the family's 1533-position model. The record is from RNAcentral.